AGCGAACGCCGGCGGCAGGCCUAACACAUGCAAGUCGAACGAACUCUUCGGAGUUAGUGGCGGACGGGUGAGUAACACGUGGGAACGUGCCUUUAGGUUCGGAAUAACUCAGGGAAACUUGUGCUAAUACCGAAUGUGCCCUUCGGGGGAAAGAUUUAUCGCCUUUAGAGCGGCCCGCGUCUGAUUAGCUAGGUGGUGAGGUAAAGGCUCACCAAGGCGAGGAUCAGUAGCUGGUCUGAGAGGAUGAUCAGCCACGUUGGGACUGAGACACGGCCCAAACUCCUACGGGAGGCAGCAGUGGGGAAUCUUGCGCAAUGGGCGAAAGCCUGACGCAGCCAUGCCGCGUGAAUGAUGAAGGUCUUAGGAUUGUAAAAUUCUUUCACCGGGGACGAUAAUGACGGUACCCGGAGAAGAAGCCCCGGCUAACUUCGUG
Molecule: ribosomal RNA, 433 nt
Filed under: uncultured bacterium
Lineage: Bacteria
Description: partial 16S ribosomal RNA
Rfam family: Bacterial small subunit ribosomal RNA
Source: RNAcentral